GAAUUUCGCUUUUGAUCGAAAAGUCUACCAAGCAACGUCCAAAUGACUUGAAAUUUUGCACACACAUCCUAAAUGACACAACAAACCUACACCAACUCCCGAAAUUCCAUUCUGACCACUAUAACAAAAUCUUACCUAUCAACCAGAAAAUGUUAAAAUUUCAAUUUCGCCAAUUCAAGCCGAAAUCUUCCACAGGCCUCCAAAUCACAUUCGAUCAGGCUCAUAAGUCCCAAAUCACCUAAUGGAGCUGACCAAAUUGUAGAAUUUCCGAUCCGAGACAUAUACCAACAAGUGAAAUCUUGGUCAAAUCUUCAAAUUUUAAGCUUCAAAGCGAGAAUUGUUCUUCCAACUUCACUCUGAUUAUCCUGAAAACUAAUACCGAUGAUUUACACAAGUCAUAAUACAUCACACGGGGUUGAUUAUGCCCGAGAAAUGGAGAGCAAAAUGUAAAAACACAAAACCGCUCGACUUGUUACAAUACAGCUUGACACCAAACGGGCAAUAUUCGAUCACUAGCUCCUACAAUGCAUCGAUGAGGCAAACAUGAAAGAUUGAAGACUUAUGAGUUAAUCUGGUCAUCACUAGCUCAACCAAAACAUAGUUUUGUGGAUUGGUUGGCUGUACAGGGCAGAUUGCUCACUAAAGCGAGGCUGAGACACAUUCAUAUUCCAGUGGUAGAUGAUACAUGCUGCCUCUAUGACAGACAAGCUAUGGAGACUCCCAUGCACUUAAAUGCGGAUUGUGACUGGAUAGAGAAUGUGCGAG
This 765-nucleotide long non-coding RNA is filed under the name Nicotiana benthamiana. RNAcentral's name for it is "long non-coding RNA (NBEN_LNC038313)". Lineage: Eukaryota; Viridiplantae; Streptophyta; Magnoliopsida; Solanales; Solanaceae. The record is from RNAcentral.